CUCUGGGCUGUAACUGACGCUGAGGAGCGAAAGCAUGGGGAGCGAACAGGAUUAGAUACCCUGGUAGUCCAUGCCGUAAACGUUGGGCACUAGGUGUGGGGACCAUUCCACGGUUUCCGCGCCGCAGCUAACGCAUUAAGUGCCCCGCCUGGGGAGUACGGCCGCAAGGCUAAAACUCAAAGGAAUUGACGGGGGCCCGCACAAGCGGCGGAGCAUGCGGAUUAAUUCGAUGCAACGCGAAGAACCUUACCAAGGCUUGACAUGUUCUCGAUCGCCGUAGAGAUACGGUUUCCCCUUUGGGGCGGGAUCACAGGUGGUGCAUGGUUGUCGUCAGCUCGUGUCGUGAGAUGUUGGGUUAAGUCCCGCAACGAGCGCAACCCUCGUUCCAUGUUGCCAGCACGUAAUGGUGGG
Molecule: ribosomal RNA, 411 nt
Filed under: Micrococcus sp. BHUMC X14
Lineage: Bacteria; Bacillati; Actinomycetota; Actinomycetes; Micrococcales; Micrococcaceae
Description: bacterial SSU rRNA
Rfam family: Bacterial small subunit ribosomal RNA
Source: RNAcentral